Molecule: ribosomal RNA, 455 nt
Filed under: Stenotrophomonas maltophilia
Lineage: Bacteria; Pseudomonadati; Pseudomonadota; Gammaproteobacteria; Lysobacterales; Lysobacteraceae
Description: bacterial SSU rRNA
Rfam family: Bacterial small subunit ribosomal RNA
Source: RNAcentral
AAACUUACGCUAAUACCGCAUACGACCUACGGGUGAAAGCAGGGGAUCUUCGGACCUUGCGCGAUUGAAUGAGCCGAUGUCGGAUUAGCUAGUUGGCGGGGUAAAGGCCCACCAAGGCGACGAUCCGUAGCUGGUCUGAGAGGAUGAUCAGCCACACUGGAACUGAGACACGGUCCAGACUCCUACGGGAGGCAGCAGUGGGGAAUAUUGGACAAUGGGCGCAAGCCUGAUCCAGCCAUACCGCGUGGGUGAAGAAGGCCUUCGGGUUGUAAAGCCCUUUUGUUGGGAAAGAAAUCCAGCUGGUUAAUACCCGGUUGGGAUGACGGUACCCAAAGAAUAAGCACCGGCUAACUUCGUGCCAGCAGCCGCGGUAAUACGAAGGGUGCAAGCGUUACUCGGAAUUACUGGGCGUAAAGCGUGCGUAGGUGGUCGUUUAAGUCCGUUGUGAAAGCCCU